GAUGAACGCUCGCUACAGGCUUAACACAUGCAAGUCGCGGGGCAGCAUGGGGGUUGCUUGCAAUCCCCGAUGGCGACCGGCGCACGGGUGAGUAACGCGUAUCCAACCUGCCCUUCACCACGGGAUAACCCGGCGAAAGUCGGACUAAUACCGUAUGUUGUCCAUUGACGGCAUCCGAUUUGGACGAAAGGUUUGGCGGUGAAGGAUGGGGAUGCGUCCGAUUAGCUGGACGGCGGGGUGACGGCCCACCGUGGCGACGAUCGGUAGGGGUUCUGAGAGGAAGGUCCCCCACACUGGAACUGAGACACGGUCCAGACUCCUACGGGAGGCAGCAGUGAGGAAUAUUGGUCAAUGGGCGUAAGCCUGAACCAGCCAAGUAGCGUGCAGGAUGACGGCCCUAUGGGUUGUAAACUGCUUUUAUGCGGGGAUAAAGUGGCCCACGUGUGGGUUUUUGCAGGUACCGCAUGAAUAAGGACCGGCUAAUUCCGU
Molecule: ribosomal RNA, 489 nt
Filed under: uncultured bacterium
Lineage: Bacteria
Description: partial 16S ribosomal RNA
Rfam family: Bacterial small subunit ribosomal RNA
Source: RNAcentral